Long non-coding RNA from Chinchilla lanigera (long-tailed chinchilla), 415 nucleotides. RefSeq lists it as uncharacterized. The record is from RefSeq and is a predicted model, not a curated record. The transcript is spliced from 3 exons. Lineage: Eukaryota; Metazoa; Chordata; Mammalia; Rodentia; Chinchillidae.
CCCAUUGUCCUGUUUGUUUUGCCAGACCUACAGAUUUGGAAGAGGAACUGUAUACAAGAAGCACCUACAUGAGACACCCACCCACUUGCCAGGAGGGAGAUUCCCUUUUACAAAAGAAUAAGGCUUCCUGCAUCAACAUGAGACAAAGAUACAUGUGCACAGCGUGUGCAGGGAUGAGCUUCUCCAGGAAUAGCAUGGUGUCCUGAAAACCCAUACUGAAUAAUAGUCAAAAUACAAUCUAGAGAGAAAUCCAAACUUGGAAGACCCGCUUGCAGUGUGUACGGUAUGUGGUAAUGAUGCACAGUUGUUUUGAAGAGACAGCCAAGGAGUCGGUGAUAUCAGUGGAUCCUGACUGAGCCCAUGGUUGGCAAUUUCACCAGAGAAAACGAUCUACCAGGCAGAGGAGACAUGAGGA